Myotis davidii is the source of this 377-nucleotide long non-coding RNA. RefSeq lists it as uncharacterized. The transcript has 2 exons. The record is from RefSeq and is a predicted model, not a curated record. NCBI's taxonomy places the organism in Eukaryota, Metazoa, Chordata, Mammalia, Chiroptera, Vespertilionidae.
AGGGAGGCCCCCACGUCUGUUCCUGUCAGGCCCCCAUCAGGGGACUUGGGCAGGGUUCCUGUUAUCUGCUCAAGAUCCCAAGACUGUAAAAGUACUUGUUCACUGAAAGGGUGUAAGUGUAAAUAUUUAUUUGAUGUUUUAAACAUCUCUGUCUGUUUGUUUGCUGGAAACUUUGAUUUGCUAUGUGAUAUUCUGUGCUGGGUUGGGCUUUUGGAAUUCUGGGGUAGAUUUAAAAGGUAUUUGUGGCUUUUCUAGUCUGAUUGGGACAUUUAAGGGUGGGGCUCACAGUUCCUCAGGGCAGAGAUUUCAUGGGCCCUUCCCCCUGCCUGUGCUGAAUUAAAUAGUACAGGCCAGUGUCAUUUGGCUUGCUGGUUAAA